UACGGGGGGGGCAAGCGUUGUUCGGAAUUACUGGGCGUAAAGGGCGCGUAGGCGGCCCUCUAAGUCAGACGUGAAAUCCCUCGGCUCAACCGGGGAACUGCGUCUGAUACUGGAGGGCUUGAAUCCGGGAGAGGGAUGUGGAAUUCCAGGUGUAGCGGUGAAAUGCGUAGAUAUCUGGAGGAAUACCGGUGGCGAAGGCGGCAUCCUGGACCGGCAUUGACGCUGAAGCGCGAAAGCUAGGGGAGCAAACGGG
RNAcentral lists this ribosomal RNA (253 nucleotides) under uncultured bacterium. RNAcentral describes it as "partial 16S ribosomal RNA". It matches the Rfam family "Bacterial small subunit ribosomal RNA", at positions 524 to 776 of the family's 1533-position model. The record is from RNAcentral.